RNAcentral lists this long non-coding RNA (237 nucleotides) under Ursus maritimus (polar bear). RNAcentral's name for it is "lncRNA (ENSUMAG00000018516.1)". Lineage: Eukaryota; Metazoa; Chordata; Mammalia; Carnivora; Ursidae. The record is from RNAcentral.
UACGUAAGUGUGCAGGGAUGGACCUAAGAUCUACAGCAAUGAUCUCUGUUGCACUGUCUCAUCCCUCAGGUCUUCGGAGGAGGACAGGGAGGCUCUGGCGGCUAUGGUGACAUCAGGGAAAUAAGCAAAGAGGGCAGUCACCUAGUUGGCGGCCCCCAAGACAAUUAUCAGUGGCAAGGGUCCAGUGGAAGAGGUGAAGCUGUCAGUGGGAUCAAUACCUUGGUGAGUGGAGGCAUC